GGUAGGAUGGCCGAGUGGUCAAAGGCAACAGACUGUAAAUCUGUCGGCGAGAGCCUACGCUGGUUCAAAUCCAGCUCCUACCACCA
This 86-nucleotide transfer RNA is filed under the name Caenicola nitritireducens. RNAcentral's name for it is "tRNA-Tyr". It matches the Rfam family "tRNA". From Rfam's summary of the family: Transfer RNA (tRNA) molecules are approximately 80 nucleotides in length. Their secondary structure includes four short double-helical elements and three loops (D, anti-codon, and T loops). Lineage: Bacteria; Thermotogati; Synergistota; Synergistia; Synergistales; Synergistaceae. RNAcentral also lists the same sequence under 5 other names. The record is from RNAcentral.